Long non-coding RNA from Tupaia belangeri chinensis (Chinese tree shrew), 748 nucleotides. RefSeq lists it as uncharacterized. The record is from RefSeq and is a predicted model, not a curated record. NCBI's taxonomy places the organism in Eukaryota, Metazoa, Chordata, Mammalia, Scandentia, Tupaiidae. The transcript has 3 exons.
GCUGGGCUGGGCCAGUCCACAUGAGAGGUGCUUUCUCCACUGAACGGACCCAGCUCUCCUAACAAGGCCAGCAAACAGGACAGGAUUGAGAUUUUCGGGUGGGGACCUUCUUCCUACAGUACUGCAACUCCAGUUCUGCCCAUCCUUCAGAACCCAGAUGGAGACUGACAUCUGCCUCCCCUAACACAUACGCCAUUAUCACCACCUCCAAACCCUUGCUCUGAAGUCACAGAUCUGCCUUCCAGACGUGGCUUGGCCCCUAAAGAAAUCAUCUCUGUAGCCUCAGUAUCCCCAUCUGAAGUGGCAUAAUCUUCCUACCUGACUCAGACAGGAGACACGCUGAAGAUACAGAAACUGAGAUACUGAGGCUGGAGAAACUUGCUUAAGGCACCAGAGCUCGUGAGUGAUGGAGCUGGGAUUUGACCCAGAUAAGCUGCUUCCGGAGAUGAUGCUUGAUACAUGUCCUUGCCAGAGAGAGAUAUAAAAAGAGAAAGGAGACAAGUAUGCUGAGCCUGAGUUCCUCACCUACAACGCAGACUCGGUGUGUGCCUGCUUCUGGGCCCAUGUGUCACCUGCUGAGCACAGGGCUGAGGACCCAACACGACUGCAGACGCUCACGGUGUAUGCUGCGCUACGAGUGAUCAUCUGUCUCAGUAUGAUGCAAUAAAUGUCAUUGUCUACUUCCAGCACCCAUGAGACUAUAAAUUUUACCUGACAAAACAUCAACCCAAAGUAAGGAAAGAAAAAA